This 292-nucleotide long non-coding RNA is filed under the name Fukomys damarensis (Damara mole-rat). RNAcentral's name for it is "lncRNA (ENSFDAG00000028666.1)". Lineage: Eukaryota; Metazoa; Chordata; Mammalia; Rodentia; Bathyergidae. The record is from RNAcentral.
GGGAAGCAGGAAGUGUCUUAGCUUCAGCCUUCUACCCAUGGCUGCCCAGCAGAAGGAGGGCACCAGGCCAGCGACUUCUACAGUAGCAGCCUGAAAGGUCAAACUUCAUGGAAACAACCGGAGUGUUCAGCGAUCUGCAGGUGUGAGGGCCUCCUGGGACUUCUGACUGUGGCUGUGGGCAUCACCAGGACCAGGCUCCAUGGGCCCACUCAGUAUAUUUUUCUUCAUUUUCUCAAACCUGGCCCGAUUCCACCUUAAAUUAAUGUUAAACAGCUUUAUUAAGGCCAAUUGA